This 415-nucleotide ribosomal RNA is filed under the name uncultured bacterium. Its description in RNAcentral is "bacterial SSU rRNA". It matches the Rfam family "Bacterial small subunit ribosomal RNA", at positions 355 to 787 of the family's 1533-position model. The record is from RNAcentral.
UGGGGGAUAUUGCACAAUGGGCGCAAGCCUGAUGCAGCGACGCCGCGUGGGUGAAGAAGUACCUCGGUACGUAAAGCCCUAUCAGCAGGGAAGAAAAUGACGGUACCUGACUAAGAAGCUCCGGCUAAAUACGUGCCAGCAGCCGCGGUAAUACGUAUGGAGCAAGCGUUAUCCGGAUUUACUGGGUGUAAAGGGAGCGUAGGCGGCAUACCAAGCCUGAUGUGAAAACCCGGGGCCCAACCGCGGGAGUGCAUUGGGAACUGGCAAGCUGGAGUGUCGGAGAGGCAGGCGGAAUUCCUAGUGUAGCGGUGAAAUGCGUAGAUAUUAGGAGGAACACCAGUGGCGAAGGCGGCCUGCUGGACGAUGACUGACGCUGAGGCUCGAAAGCGUGGGGAGCAAACAGGAUUAGAUACCC